Molecule: unclassified non-coding RNA, 1405 nt
Organism: Octopus bimaculoides (California two-spot octopus)
Lineage: Eukaryota; Metazoa; Mollusca; Cephalopoda; Octopoda; Octopodidae
Source: RefSeq, a predicted model, not a curated record
UGGUGGUAGUAGUAGUAGUAGUAGUAGUAGAAAAAGUGGUUUCAUCACAUCAUGGGUUACUGUUAAUGUCUAAGUCCACCAAAGACAGUCGUUAUGUCCGCCCUCUUAUCAUUUGUGAUUACUAUGGCUGUUGCCGUUGUUGUUUUUCUUGUCGUUGUUGUUAUUGAUAUGGUUGGUGUUACUGGCACUCCGCUGAAGGUUCCUGGUUCAAAUACUACCCAAGGAUAUUCCACUUUAAUUAGCAAAGAGGAAGUGCUCAGGGCUGAAACUGGACAUAAUGGAAUAGACAUUGAUCAUUAUCUUGCUUUGCAGGAGUAUUCAGGGUUCAUGAAGGAAAUCAACAGCAGCUACCCAAAUGCAGAAGUGAUGAUUUAUGGUAAAUCUUAUGAAGGCAGGGACCUCAUGGCUGUGAAGUUUUACCGAAAUUCAUGUAACCCAACAAUCUUUGUCGAAGCUGGAAUUCAUGCAAGAGAAUGGAUAGCUUCAGCAGUAACCUUCAAGAUCAUUAAUACUAUUGCUAGAAACAGCAGCCAAGAUGAAGAAAUGUCAAAACUACUGGACUUAUACAACUGGGUGUUUGUGCCACUGGUCAACCCUGAUGGAUAUGACUUUUCACGUCACGAGAACCGAUAUUGGAGGAAGAAUAAACGCGUUGUUACCAAAAAUUGCACUGGUGUAGACCUCAACAGGAACUUUGACAUAAACUGGGGAACCGUUGAUGCAAGUGAUGAUCCAUGCUCAGACAUUUACUGUGGGAAAGCACCGUUUUCUGAGCCAGAGACUCAAUCCUUGAAAACGUUCAUACAAGCGUCAUGGCCUUUGAUAGGUUACAUUUCCCUGCAUGCAUAUGCACAGCUGAUUAUUUGCCCUUAUUCAUACACAAAAGCGACUCCAGAAGAUUUUGAAGAACUGGCCAAACUUGCUGAGAAUGUGACAAGGGCCAUAUAUAACACAACAGGGGAACAGUACUUAGUGGGAGAAGGAUCUCGUGCAUUGUAUGAAGCCAGUGGGUGUUCAACGGAUUGGGUCAAGAAAGUACUUGGCGUUAAAUACUCGUAUGCCAUUGAAAUGCGGCCCACUGACAAUGACACGAGGGGCUUCAGCCUUCCAGCCAGUGAGAUAGAGCCGACAUCCAGGGACAUCUUCGUAGCUUUAAAGACAUUCGCAAAUGGCUUUAAGAGAAAUAUUUCUUAUCUAAGGGACAGUUUGAAGAACUGCAACAACACAGAAGAAGCACAGAAGGAAACAGGCAGAGGAUAGACUUAAAAGACAGGAGAGGCGUGGAGACAGCAGGAACUAGACACAUACUAUAUGCAUCAUGGGUACGGACGUGGAGAAAAUGAUUGCAGCCAAGUUGAAAAACAGAUGUCAUGGACAGAUAAACGGAAUCCGACAGGAAUGAAAA